Molecule: ribosomal RNA, 273 nt
Filed under: uncultured bacterium
Lineage: Bacteria
Description: partial 16S ribosomal RNA
Rfam family: Bacterial small subunit ribosomal RNA
Source: RNAcentral
AGAGUUUGAUCCUGGCUCAGGACGAACGCUGGCGGCGUGCCUAACACAUGCAAGUCGAACGGGGAUAUUGAAUUUCGGUUUAGUAUCCAAGUGGCGCACGGGUGAGUAACGCGUGAACAACUUGACCUUAAGAGGGGGAUAACAUCGAGAAAUCGGUGCUAAUACCGCAUAAGACCACAACCUCGCAUGGGGAAGGGGUCAAAGGAGAGAUCCGCUUAAGGAGGGGUUCGCGUUCCCAUUAGGUAGUUGGCGGGAUAACAGCCCACCAAGCCG